RNAcentral lists this ribosomal RNA (300 nucleotides) under uncultured Pyrodictium sp. Its description in RNAcentral is "partial 16S ribosomal RNA". The stretch from base 52 to 300 matches the Rfam family "Bacterial small subunit ribosomal RNA", at positions 547 to 795 of the family's 1533-position model. The record is from RNAcentral. Lineage: Archaea; Thermoproteati; Thermoproteota; Thermoprotei; Desulfurococcales; Pyrodictiaceae.
UGAGAGUGGUAGGAGGUGAGGGGGGGAAUACGGUGGGGGCGGGUGUUGUUCGGAAUCAGUGGGCGGGAGGGGCGGGUAGGUGGUCGUGGAGGGCCGCGGGGAAAGUCGGGGGCGCAACCGUGGGAUGGCGGUGGGUACUGGCGGGCUCGAGUACGGAAGAGGCGAGGGGAAUGCCUGGUGUAGCGGUGAAAUGCGCAGAUAUCAGGAGGAACACCGAUUGCGAAGGCAGCUCGCUGGGACGUUACUGACGCUGAGACGCGAAAGCGUGGGGAGCAAACAGGAUUAGAUACCCCUGUAGUC